GUUGACAAGAGACAUUCCAGCCCACCACUUCCCAAGUAAAGAUUUAAAAUGCAGCAUGAUGGCUAAGGCAAGGGCCUGCAGAAGAAUGUAAAGGAGGGAGGAAGAGCAGGGGAUUCAGAGCAGGAAGGAGGAGACAGUUACUGUCUAUCCCGCAGACGUGGUGCUCUUUGAAGGGAUCCUGGCCUUCUACUCCCAGGAGGUACGAGACCUGUUCCAGAUGAAGCUUUUUGUGGAUACAGAUGCGGACACCCGGCUCUCACGCAGAGUAUUAAGGGACAUCAGCGAGAGAGGCAGGGAUCUUGAGCAGAUUUUAUCUCAGUACAUUACGUUCGUCAAGCCUGCCUUUGAGGAAUUCUGCUUGCCGACAAAGAAGUAUGCUGAUGUGAUCAUCCCUAGAGGUGCAGAUAAUCUAGUGGCCAUCAACCUCAUCGUGCAGCACAUCCAGGACAUCCUGAAUGGAGGGCCCUCCAAACGGCAGACCAAUGGCUGUCUCAACGGCUACACCCCUUCACGCAAGAGGCAGGCAUCGGAGUCCAGCAGCAGGCCGCAUUGACCCGUCUCCAUCGGACCCCAGCCCCUAUCUCCAAGAGACAGAGGAGGGGUCAGGAGGCACUGCUCAUCUGUACAUACUGUUUCCUAUGACAUUACUGUAUUUAAGAAAACACCAUGGAGAUGAAAUGCCUUUGAUUUUUUUUUCUUUUUGUACUUUGGAACGACAAAAUGAAACAGAACUUGACCCUGAGCUUAAAUAACAAAACUGUGCCAACUACUACUGGUGAUGCCUAAUUAUGAAUCCAACGUGUAACCAGUUAUAAAUACAUAUAUAUAU
RNAcentral lists this small RNA (829 nucleotides) under Pongo abelii (Sumatran orangutan). RNAcentral's name for it is "processed transcript". Lineage: Eukaryota; Metazoa; Chordata; Mammalia; Primates; Hominidae. The record is from RNAcentral.